RNAcentral lists this unclassified non-coding RNA (238 nucleotides) under Hevea brasiliensis (rubber tree). Lineage: Eukaryota; Viridiplantae; Streptophyta; Magnoliopsida; Malpighiales; Euphorbiaceae. The record is from RNAcentral.
AGCAGAAUAUGCAGCAAUUUGAACGCUGACAACAUGGAGAGACACGAGUUAUCAGUCUGAUCAAAUAAUCAAAAAGUUUGUGCUCUGAGUUUUUCCUUUUCAGAUCCUUGUAAAAUAUCAACAUUUCUCUUUCAAUUUUAAUGGUUUACCGAAUACUUUCCAAAGCUGACACAAGGUCAAUGGAAAGAGUACAUUAAAAAGUUAAUAUUUGUAAAUAUUUGCUUGCAUCUUGCAGUUG